GCAUUGGUGGUUCAGUGGAAGAAUUCUCAUCUUCCGUGUGGGGGACUGGGGUUCAAUUCCUGAUCAGUGCA
Molecule: transfer RNA, 71 nt
Filed under: Loxodonta africana (African savanna elephant)
Lineage: Eukaryota; Metazoa; Chordata; Mammalia; Proboscidea; Elephantidae
Rfam family: tRNA
About the family: Transfer RNA (tRNA) molecules are approximately 80 nucleotides in length. Their secondary structure includes four short double-helical elements and three loops (D, anti-codon, and T loops). Further hydrogen bonds mediate the characteristic L-shaped molecular structure. tRNAs have two regions of fundamental functional importance: the anti-codon, which is responsible for specific mRNA codon recognition, and the 3' end, to which the tRNAs corresponding amino acid is attached (by aminoacyl-tRNA synthetases). tRNAs cope with the degeneracy of the genetic code in two manners: having more than one tRNA (with a specific anti-codon) for a particular amino acid; and 'wobble' base-pairing, i.e. permitting non-standard base-pairing at the 3rd anti-codon position.
Source: Rfam by way of RNAcentral